RNAcentral lists this unclassified non-coding RNA (350 nucleotides) under plant metagenome. Its description in RNAcentral is "partial contains 5.8S ribosomal RNA, internal transcribed spacer 2, and large subunit ribosomal RNA". The stretch from base 1 to 105 matches the Rfam family "5.8S ribosomal RNA", at positions 50 to 154 of the family's 154-position model. The record is from RNAcentral.
GAAAUGCGAUAAGUAAUGUGAAUUGCAGAAUUCAGUGAAUCAUCGAAUCUUUGAACGCACCUUGCGCUCCUUGGUAUUCCGAGGAGCAUGCCUGUUUGAGUGUCAUGGAAUUCUCAACUCUAUUUGCUUUUGUGAAUAGAGCUUGGAUUUGGAGGUUUAUUGCUGGUACUUGUGAUCGGCUCCUCUUGAAUGCAUUAGCUCGAACCUUUGCGGAUCAGCUAUCGGUGUGAUAAUUGUCUACGCCGUUGCAGUGAAGCAUAUCAAUGGGCUCGGCUUCCAAUCGUCCUUUACUGGACAAUGACUUUGACCUUUGACCUCAAAUCAGGUAGGAUUACCCGCUGAACUUAAUC